Molecule: long non-coding RNA, 1396 nt
Organism: Drosophila sechellia
Lineage: Eukaryota; Metazoa; Arthropoda; Insecta; Diptera; Drosophilidae
Exons: 2
Source: RefSeq, a predicted model, not a curated record
UUAUGCUUAUAAUUAACCCUCUGCCGCAAAUCCAAGAGCAAAUUAUGCUUGUGACAGCGAUAAGCUGGGCGCAAUUUGCAGGGUCUCCAGUUGGGAUAGGUCACAUCGAAGGGACUGGUCACGAUUUGCUCAAAUCAUGCCAUUUGCAUGAGACACACCCCAGUCUGCGUAUUAAAUAAUUAAGCAUACUAUGCAUGACUGUAGACUUGAGCUUCUUUCGAAAGUAGGAGCAAUCCUUUCUCAUUCUUCUGCCUCGAUUCAAACAAUUGACGAAAUCUAUUUGAAUGGAUUCAAGAGAUCAAGCCAUACAGGGUAUCCAAGGUAUCAGGGUUGCGAAACCACCAACCAAAUGAGGCACCAAAUGGCCAUUUUGGCUGGCCUUUCUUUGGCUAAUAAAUUUCUUGCGAAUGUUUCCUUUGUUUUCGCUGAAUAAGAUAUCUUUGGGCCGCCAUCAGCAGAUAUUUCACAUUUAUGGGAGUCGCUCCCCUGGCGAUUUCGGUGGCAGGACUUUAAUUAAAAUCAGCCACCGGUGACAUAAGACAGUCUGGCUGGUGGAACUCUAGUUUUCAGUCCUGCCACCGGGUUCAUCAUGGGCCUCCAUGUGGCUUUCGCCGGGGUGCUCCACUCAUUAGUGACUCUGCCACACGUGCGUAUUGAGUUCGGGAAACAAGUGUGAUAAGCUGUUUAGCAUGCGAAUGCGAUAAACGUGGAAGUCAGAGCCGUGUAUUCCACAUUCUGCCAGAUUAUGCAAAUUUGCUCUGGCUAAGUAUAUUUUCCUUAGCCGUAUGCAAAUUAGUCCUUACAGGACAGGAAAAGACGUUGAUAAAUUUAUUUAUUUCGCCCUAGCAGGCUUCAUUUUGUCUCAUCGAAGACAUGAAAUCAAAUUGAUUUUUUCUUUAGAGCAAGAAAUCUAUAUCCUAUGUCACAAAGAUGUAGGAUCAUCUGUUCAUUAGUAAGCUGGCAAAUCCUUAUUCACCCAACUGGUUCUCUUUGCUUGGAUAAUAUUUGUGCGACACCCCUGCCCAGUUUUACUUGGGAUUCCGAGCCUUUCCAAUUAGCCAAACUCCAGGUCGAAUACAAAGGCGCAUGUCUCGAUUGGACACAUUUUCCCAACCCAGCUGCGUUUGGUUCAACUUGCUCAAUCGCUUAUACAACUCAACAAUCGCUCGAAAUCCCCCGCAUGUAAACAAACCAAUUUCCAGAUGCCUAAUUUGCAUUUUAUAGCCUGGCCUUCUAGCUAAGGCACUUUCUACAUAUCAAUUAGAAAUGUGAUUUUACAUACGAUAUGCCAUCUUUUACACAAAGGGUCCCAAAAAAGUACAAACUCUCUAGUUUCCCGGUUUCCCAAAUAAAACUCCUCAUGUAACUCAGCAUGCCAGGAUGCUUGUAAAAUUAA